GCCGAGCGAGCAGCCUGCCGUCCGUGCGGCCGGCCGCCCCGUGCAUGCGCCCCGCGCCCCGGGGCCCCGCGCAGCGAGCGCUCCGCGCGGGCUGCCGCCGGCCCCGCGGCCCCGCGCCCCGCCGCCCCGGGGCCCCGCUCCGCAGCGCAGCGCAUGGAGCCCGGCGGGGACCACCGGAGCCGGAGCAGCGGCGGCAGGGGCGGCCCCGGGCCAGCAGUGGCCUCGGCACGGGGCCGACGGCUGCCGCCCGCCGGAUCGAGCGGCAGCGCGGAGCCAGAGGAAGACGAAGGCGGGCAAGAUCUUCAGCUGGAAGGGGGUGCCUUGGGGUCCUGGGGGAGUGCCCCCCUGCCCUCCUCCAGGGCCAGGGGACCAGCAUCUUCAGGCAGGAAAUAUUCAGACCACUGUGAGGCCCGGGCCUCGAGGCCUGGAAAGAGCCGCAUCCCUGGCCGUGACCACCGGCGCUACUACCACGACCACUGGCGGCUGGAGUACCUGAUGGACUUCAACCCUGCCCGGCACGGCAUGGUGUGCAUGGUGUGCGGCAGCUCCCUGGCCACCCUCAAGCUCAGCACCAUCAAGCGCCACAUCCGCCAAAAGCACCCCUACUCCUUGCAUUGGAGUCCCCGGGAGAAGGAAGUCAUCAGCAACAGCUGGGAUGCACACCUGGGGCUGGGGGCCUGCGGAGAGGCCGAGGGCCUGGGGGUCCAGGGGGCUGAGGAGGAGGAGGAGGAGGAAGAAGAGGAGGAGGAGGAGGGGGCCGGUGUCCCAGCUUGCCCGCCCAAGGGCCCAGGCGACGUUCCGCUGUCCCCUGGAGCUCCCUUGGAGCGGCCCGCCGAAGAAGAGGAGGACGAAGAGGACGGCCAGGAGCCUGGGGGACUCGCCUUGCCGCCGCCGCCUCCUCCCCCGCCUCCGCCCCCGCCCCGCAGCCGGGAGCAGCGGCGGAACUACCAGCCGCGGUGGCGGGGCGAGUACCUGAUGGACUACGACGGCAGCCGGCGCGGCCUGGUGUGUAUGGUGUGCGGGGGCGCGCUGGCCACGCUCAAGGUGAGCACCAUCAAGCGCCACAUCCUGCAGGUGCACCCCUUCUCCAUGGACUUCACGCCUGAGGAGCGCCAGACUAUCCUGGAGGCCUACGAGGAGGCGGCGCUGCGCUGCUACGGCCACGAGGGCUUCGGGCCGCCCGCCCCGGCGCCGCGUGACGGCGGCGCGGACCUCAAGUCUGGCGCUGUGUGUCGGGCGUAGCGGCCUAGCGGGCCCCCGGGUCAGGUCGGGUCGGGUCGGAUCG
RNAcentral lists this long non-coding RNA (1285 nucleotides) under Homo sapiens (human). Its description in RNAcentral is "non-protein coding lnc-C11orf95-1:14". The record is from RNAcentral. Lineage: Eukaryota; Metazoa; Chordata; Mammalia; Primates; Hominidae.